RNAcentral lists this ribosomal RNA (438 nucleotides) under uncultured Bacillota bacterium. RNAcentral's name for it is "bacterial SSU rRNA". It matches the Rfam family "Bacterial small subunit ribosomal RNA", at positions 917 to 1359 of the family's 1533-position model. The record is from RNAcentral. Lineage: Bacteria; Bacillati; Bacillota.
GGGCCCGCACAAGCAGUGGAGUAUGUGGAUUAAUUCGACGCAACGCGAAGAACCUUACCAGGUCUUGACAUCCUGAGCAUAGCAUGGAGACAUGUGAAAUCCUUCGGGACUCAGAGACAGGUGGUGCAUGGUUGUCGUCAGCUCGUGUCGUGAGAUGUUGGGUUAAGUCCCGCAACGAGCGCAACCCUUAUCGUUAGUUACUACGCAAGAGGACUCUAGCGAGACUGCCGUUGACAAAACGGAGGAAGGUGGGGAUGACGUCAAAUCAUCAUGCCCUUUAUGACCUGGGCUUCACACGUACUACAAUGGCCGUUAACAGAGAGAAGCGAAGUCGCGAGGCAGAGCAAAACUCAGAAAAACGGUCUCAGUUCGGAUCGGAGGCUGCAACCCGCCUCCGUGAAGCCGGAAUUGCCCUAGUAAUCGCGGAUCAGCAUGCCG